This 459-nucleotide ribosomal RNA is filed under the name uncultured bacterium. RNAcentral's name for it is "partial 16S ribosomal RNA". It matches the Rfam family "Bacterial small subunit ribosomal RNA", at positions 338 to 795 of the family's 1533-position model. The record is from RNAcentral.
CCUACGGGUGGCAGCAGUGAGGAAUAUUGGUCAAUGGGCGCGAGCCUGAACCAGCCAAGUAGCGUGAAGGAUGACUGCCCUACGGGUUGUAAACUUCUUUUAUAAAGGAAUAAAGUGAGGCACGUGUGCCUUUUUGUAUGUACUUUAUGAAUACUGAUCGGCUAACUCCGUGCCGGCAGCCGCGGUAAUACGGAGGAUCAGAUCGUUAUCCGGCUUUAUUGGGUUUAAGGGGUGCGUAGGCGGCUUUGUAAGUCAGCGGUAAAAUGUCCGGGCUAAACCCGGGACGGCCGUUGAUACUGGGGAUCUUGAGUGGGCGAGAGGUAGGCGGAAUGCGUGGUGUAGCGGUGAAAUGCAUAGAUAUCACGCAGAACACCGAUGGCGAAGGCAGCAUACCGGCGCCCGACUGACGCUGAGGCACGAAAGCGUGGGGAUCGAACAGGAUUAGAUACCCUGGUAGUC